UACAGAGGCCCCAAGCAUUACCCGGAAUCACUGGGCGUAAAGGGUGCGUAGGCGGCAGUGUUAGUCUUUUGUGAAAUCCUUGGGCUUAACCCAAGAGGUGCAGAAGAAACGGCACUACUAGAGGAUGCGAGAGGUAUAUGGAACUCAUGGUGUAGGGGUGAAAUCCGUUGAUAUCAUGGGGAACACCAAAUGCGAAGGCAAUAUACUGGCGCACUCCUGACGCUGAGGCACGAAAGCGUGGGUAGCGAAU
This 250-nucleotide ribosomal RNA is filed under the name uncultured bacterium. RNAcentral describes it as "partial 16S ribosomal RNA". It matches the Rfam family "Bacterial small subunit ribosomal RNA", at positions 524 to 773 of the family's 1533-position model. The record is from RNAcentral.